AUGUCGAAGUCUGUAAUAAUUUCUUUGGCAACAACAGGAACAAUCUUGUUCUCACUUUCAGUUAUUCUUCUUGUUCGGAUGCUUUACAAGAAGCUCAGACAAAGGCAGAAGGGAAUGGUGGAAUCUUCAACUAGCGAGGAGCAAUAUGAACGAAUCUCAUAUAAUGCAUUAUUUGGAGGAACUAAUGGAUCUUCAGAUGCAAACUUGCUUGGGAGAGGAAGUUAUGGUGUGGUUUAUAAGUGUGUUUUGGACUCGGAAGAAAGAACAUUGGCUGUCAAGGUGUUCAAUCUUGGUCCAUCUAGGUAUUCCAAGAGUUUUGAGGCUGAAUGUGAGGCCAUGAGAAGGAUACGACACCGUUUUCUCAUCAAGAUCAUUACUUCUUGUUCGAGUGUCAACCACCAAGGUCAAGAGUUCAGGGCAUUGGUUUUUGAGUUCAUGCCCAAUGGUAACUUGGAUGGUUGGCUUCAUCCAAAAUCUCAAGAGCCCACUGCAAACAACACGCUCAGCCUUGCCCAGAGGCUUGAUAUUGCUGUCGAUAUCAUGGAUGCGGUAGAAUAUCUGCACAACUACUGUCAACCAUUAGUAAUCCAUUGUGAUCUUAAGCCAAGCAACAUUCUUCUAACUGAAGACAUGAGCGCCCGAAUUGGAGACUUUGGCAUAUCAAGUAUUCUUCAAGAAAAUACAAGCAAGGGGAUGCAAACUUCAUAUGGCUCAACUGGAAUUAGAGGUUCCAUAGGCUAUGUUGCUCCAGAGUACGGAGAAGGCUCUGCGGUCUCAACAUAUGGUGAUAUUUAUAGCCUUGGCAUAUUGCUACUUGAGAUGUUUACGGGAAGGAGCCCAACAGAAGGCACGUUUAGAGAUUCACUAGAUCUACAUAAGUUUGUCGAGGAUGCUCUUCCAAAUAGGACCCUGGCGAUAGCUGACCCAACAAUGUGGCUGCACAACGGACAAGAGGAUAACACUACAAGUAUUAGAAUCCAAGAGUGCUUGAUUUCAGUCUUGAGGCUUGGCAUAUCCUGCUCGAAGCAACAACCUCGAGACCGAGCACUGGGGAGAGAUGCAGCGGCAGACAUGCACGCAAUCAGAGAUGAGUACCUUGUGUUUGCUGCUAAUCAUACAGGGGGGCAUGGAGCAAAAGAGGUGCCUCGGCUCGAGACAUUCGAUCUGGAAUGA
Molecule: ribosomal RNA, 1173 nt
Filed under: Triticum aestivum (bread wheat)
Lineage: Eukaryota; Viridiplantae; Streptophyta; Magnoliopsida; Poales; Poaceae
Description: partial small subunit ribosomal RNA
Source: RNAcentral